AGCGAACGCUGGCGGCAGGCCUAACACAUGCAAGUCGAACGAACUUUUCGGAGUUAGUGGCGGACGGGUGAGUAACACGUGGGAACGUGCCUUUAGGUUCGGAAUAACUCAGGGAAACUUGUGCUAAUACCGAAUGUGCCCUUCGGGGGAAAGAUUUAUCGCCUUUAGAGCGGCCCGCGUCUGAUUAGCUAGUUGGUGAGGUAAAGGCUCACCAAGGCGACGAUCAGUAGCUGGUCUGAGAGGAUGAUCAGCCACAUUGGGACUGAGACACGGCCCAAACUCCUACGGGAGGCAGCAGUGGGGAAUCUUGCGCAAUGGGCGAAAGCCUGACGCAGCCAUGCCGCGUGAAUGAUGAAGGUCUUAGGAUUGUAAAAUUCUUUCACCGGGGACGAUAAUGACGGUACCCGGAGAAGAAGCCCCGGCUAACUUCGUG
RNAcentral lists this ribosomal RNA (433 nucleotides) under uncultured bacterium. Its description in RNAcentral is "partial 16S ribosomal RNA". It matches the Rfam family "Bacterial small subunit ribosomal RNA", at positions 29 to 507 of the family's 1533-position model. The record is from RNAcentral.